CAGCAGCCGCGGGAAUACGUAGGUGGCGAGCGUUGUCCGGAAUUAUUGGGCGUAAAGGGAGCGCAGGCGGACAUAUAAGUCCAUCUUAAAAGUGCGGGGCUCAACCCCGUGAGGGGAUGGAAACUGUAUGCCUUGAGUGCAGGAGAGGAAAGCGGAAUUCCCAGUGUAGCGGUGAAAUGCGUAGAUAUUAGGAAGAACACUAGUGGCGAAGGCGACUUUCUGGACGAAAACUGACGCUGAGGCGCGAAAGCCAGGGGAGCGAACGGGAUUAGAUACCCCCGUAGUCCCUGUCUCUUAUACA
This 301-nucleotide ribosomal RNA is filed under the name uncultured bacterium. RNAcentral describes it as "partial 16S ribosomal RNA". It matches the Rfam family "Bacterial small subunit ribosomal RNA", at positions 509 to 809 of the family's 1533-position model. The record is from RNAcentral.